RNAcentral lists this ribosomal RNA (597 nucleotides) under Cicindela hybrida. RNAcentral's name for it is "partial 16S ribosomal RNA". It matches the Rfam family "Bacterial large subunit ribosomal RNA", at positions 1861 to 2733 of the family's 2925-position model. The record is from RNAcentral. Lineage: Eukaryota; Metazoa; Arthropoda; Insecta; Coleoptera; Carabidae.
GCCCAAUGAGGAAUUAAAUGGCCGCAGUAUUUUGACUGUGCAAAGGUAGCAUAAUUAUUAGUUUUUUAAUUGAAAGCUUGUAUGAAGGGUUGGACGAGAUAAAAUCUGUCUUUAUUUAAAUUACAAUAGAAUUUAACUUUUAAGUCAAAAGGCUUAAAUGUAUAUAAAAGACGAGAAGACCCUAUAGAUCUUUAUUUAAUUAAUAUUUUGAUAAUUUAAGAUUAUUUUAGUUUAAAGUUUUAAUUAAAUUUUAUUGGGGUAAUAUAGAGAUUAAAUAAAUUCUUUUUAUUUAUUACAUUGAUUUAUGAAUAUAUGAUCCAAUAUUAUUGAUUAUAAGAUUAAGUUACCUUAGGGAUAACAGCGUAAUUUUUUUGGAGAGCUCAUAUCGAUAAAAAAGUUUGCGACCUCGAUGUUGGAUUAAAAAUUAGCUUGGGUGCAGAAGCUCAAGAUUUUGGUCUGUUCGACCAUUAAAUUUUUACAUGAUCUGAGUUCAGACCGGCGUAAGCCAGGUCGGUUUCUAUCUUUAUUUAUCUAAAAUAUUUUAGUACGAAAGGACCAAAUAUUUAAUAUAAUUAUAUUUCUUUUUUGAAUAAUAUU